AUGGCCCUUCGCAGCAAGCUCGCCGAUAUUAAGAAGCUGGACUCCUCCGCCAUGACCUACUUCAAAAAGAUGAAGGUGCUGGCAGACACACUCACCCCUAUCGGUCGGUCGCUCAGAGACGAGGAGUUUCCUGGCUUUGUCAUCAAAGGCCUCGAUGCCGACUAUGACAAUCUUGCUGAGGCUAUUCACAACGCUAAGCCAGUGAUGCCCCCGCACGAGCUCUACUCAUGACUUCUCUUCACCGAGCAGCGCGUCGAGGCUCGUCGCUCCUCCCCCACCAUCACCUCACAGCCGGCGGCCUUCUGGGCUUCUCGGGGCCAGGGCCCCUGCCCCGUCAUCUGGCAAGCCCACCCCGCCCCCUGCAUCAACCCUGGGUGGGGGCUCUAA
RNAcentral lists this ribosomal RNA (387 nucleotides) under Triticum aestivum (bread wheat). RNAcentral describes it as "partial small subunit ribosomal RNA". Lineage: Eukaryota; Viridiplantae; Streptophyta; Magnoliopsida; Poales; Poaceae. The record is from RNAcentral.